Molecule: long non-coding RNA, 536 nt
Organism: Oncorhynchus keta (chum salmon)
Lineage: Eukaryota; Metazoa; Chordata; Actinopteri; Salmoniformes; Salmonidae
Exons: 3
Source: RefSeq, a predicted model, not a curated record
GCCCAUUAAAGUAACAGGGCCAACCUACACUGCAGGUAGGGCAGGCCUAUUCAUGCCCAUUAAAGUAACAGGGCCAACCUACACUGCAGGUAGGGCAGGCCUAUUCAUGCCCAUUAAAGUAACAGGGCCAACCUACACUGCAGGUAGGGCAGGCCUAUUCAUGCCCAUUACAGUAACAGGGCCAACCUACACUGCAGGUAGGGCAGGCCUAUUCAUGCCCAUUACAGUAACAGGGCCAACCUACACUGCAGGUAGGGCAGGCCUAUUCAUGCCCAUUACAGUAACAGGGCCAACCUACACUGCAGGUAGGGCAGGCCUAUUCAUGCCCAUUACAGUAACAGGGCCAACCUACACUGCAGGUAGGGCAGGCCUAUUCAUGCCCAUUACAGUAACAGGGACAACCUACACUGCAGGUAGGGCAGGCCUAUUCAUGCCCAUUACAGUAACAGGGCCAACCUACACUGCAGGUAGGGCAGGCCUAUUGAUAACAUGGGAAGGCUGCAUCCUAGUCCACUAUACCGUCCACUAGUUUGAGC